GAUGAACGCUGGCGGCGUGCCUAAUACAUGCAAGUCGAGCGGCCGGACGAUAAGAUCGCUCUCCUACUGUUAGCGGCUGACGGAUGGGUAAGACGUGGAUAACCUACCUAUAAGACUGGGAUAACUACGGGAAACAGCAGCUAAUACUAGCUCAUAUUAUGUACGGCAGGAUUCAAAAGUUAAUGACGGUCUUGCUGUUAGUUAUAGAUGAAUCCGCGUUGCAUUAGCUAGUUGGUAAGGUAACGGCCUACCAAGGCAACGAUGCAUAGCCGACCUGAGAGGGUGAUCGGCCACACUGGAACUGAGACACGGUCCAGACUCCUACGGGAGGCAGCAGUAGGGAAUAUUCCGCAAUGGGCGAAAGCCUGACGGAGCCACGCCGCGUGAGUGAUGAAGGUCUUCGGAUUGUAAAACUCUUUUAUUAGGAAAGAAAAGAUGUGUAAUUAACUGUCGACAUCUUGACGGUACCUAAUCAGUAAGCCACGGCUAACUUCGUG
This 497-nucleotide ribosomal RNA is filed under the name uncultured bacterium. RNAcentral's name for it is "partial 16S ribosomal RNA". It matches the Rfam family "Bacterial small subunit ribosomal RNA", at positions 28 to 507 of the family's 1533-position model. The record is from RNAcentral.